RNAcentral lists this ribosomal RNA (253 nucleotides) under uncultured bacterium. Its description in RNAcentral is "partial 16S ribosomal RNA". It matches the Rfam family "Bacterial small subunit ribosomal RNA", at positions 524 to 776 of the family's 1533-position model. The record is from RNAcentral.
UACGGAGGGUGCAAGCGUUAAUCGGAAUUACUGGGCGUAAAGCGCGCGUAGGCGGCUGGAUAAGUCGAUUGUGAAAGCCUUGGGCUCAACCUGAGAAUUGCAGUCGAGACUGUUCGGCUAGAGUGUGGGAGAGGGUGGUGGAAUUCCCGGUGUAGCGGUGAAAUGCGUAGAUAUCGGUAGUAACAUCAAAUGCGACGGCGACCACCUGGACCAACACUGACGCUGAGGUGCGAAAGCGUGGGUAGCAAACAGG